This 225-nucleotide unclassified non-coding RNA is filed under the name plant metagenome. RNAcentral describes it as "partial contains small subunit ribosomal RNA, internal transcribed spacer 1, and 5.8S ribosomal RNA". The record is from RNAcentral.
UCUCCGUUGGUGAACCAGCGGAGGGAUCAUUACAGGACUCGCAAGACUCCUACAACCCUGUGAACUUAACUAUAAGCACGUUGCUUCGGCGGGUGUCUCGGAGGUGGUUCUCCCUCCCCGAGACGCUAAACCCGCCGGCAGCCUACUAUACUCUGUCUCUUUGCGUUGGCAUCUCGAGUACAAUCAAACAAGUUAAAACUUUCAACAACGGAUCUCUUGGUUCUG